GGUCAUUAUGUAUACUUUGAUGUAUUGUCCUUUUGGCCCUUAGGCCUCAUUGUUUUGUCCUUGAAAAAGAAUUUCGAGGGGCAGAAAGUGUGCUUGGUCUUAUAAGACUCUGGCUCUCCCUCGAUUCCAAUAAUUCAUGAAAAUUUUAAUAUAAAAUACUCAAUUAUAUUCAGUCAAUAGACAUACCACAACACCCAGUUUAAAACAAACCAUGCUAAGUGAG
RNAcentral lists this unclassified non-coding RNA (223 nucleotides) under Hevea brasiliensis (rubber tree). The record is from RNAcentral. Lineage: Eukaryota; Viridiplantae; Streptophyta; Magnoliopsida; Malpighiales; Euphorbiaceae.